UACGAAGGGUGCAAGCGUUAAUCGGAAUUACUGGGCGUAAAGCGCGCGUAGGUGGUUUGUCAAGUUGGAAGUGAAAGCCCCGGGCUCAACCUGGGAACUGCUUUCAAAACUGGCAAGCUAGAGUAUGGCAGAGGGUGGUGGAAUUUCCUGUGUAGCGGUGAAAUGCGUAGAUAUAGGAAGGAACAUCAGUGGCGAAGGCGACCACCUGGGCCAAUACUGACACUGAGGUGCGAAAGCGUGGGGAGCAAACAGG
Molecule: ribosomal RNA, 253 nt
Filed under: uncultured bacterium
Lineage: Bacteria
Description: partial 16S ribosomal RNA
Rfam family: Bacterial small subunit ribosomal RNA
Source: RNAcentral